ACGGGUGAGUAACACGUGGGUAACCUGCCCAAGAGACUGGGAUAACACCUGGAAACAGAUGCUAAUACCGGAUAACAACACUAGACGCAUGUCUAGAGUUUAAAAGAUGGUUCUGCUAUCACUCUUGGAUGGACCUGCGGUGCAUUAGCUAGUUGGUAAGGUAACGGCUUACCAAGGCAAUGAUGCAUAGCCGAGUUGAGAGACUGAUCGGCCACAUUGGGACUGAGACACGGCCCAAACUCCUACGGGAGGCAGCAGUAGGGAAUCUUCCACAAUGGACGCAAGUCUGAUGGAGCAACGCCGCGUGAGUGAAGAAGGGUUUCGGCUCGUAAAGCUCUGUUGGUAGUGAAGAAAGAUAGAGGUAGUAACUGGCCUUUAUUUGACGGUAAUUACCUAGAAAGUCACGGCUAACUACGUGCCAGCAGCCGCGGUAAUACGUAGGUGGCAAGCGUUGUCCGGAUUUAUUGGGCGUAAAGCGAGUGCAGGCGGUUCAAUAAGUCUGAUGUGAAAGCCUUCGGCUCAACCGGAGAAUUGCAUCAGAAACUGUUGAACUUGAGUGCAGAAGAGGAGAGUGGAACUCCAUGUGUAGCGGUGGAGUGCGUAGAUAUAUGGAAGAACACCAGUGGCGAAGGCGGCUCUCUGGUCUGCAACUGACGCUGAGGCUCGAAAGCAUGGGUAGCGAACAGGAUUAGAUACCCUGGUAGUCCAUGCCGUAAACGAUGAGUGCUAAGUGUUGGGAGGUUUCCGCCUCUCAGUGCUGCAGCUAACG
RNAcentral lists this ribosomal RNA (769 nucleotides) under uncultured bacterium. Its description in RNAcentral is "bacterial SSU rRNA". It matches the Rfam family "Bacterial small subunit ribosomal RNA", at positions 102 to 857 of the family's 1533-position model. The record is from RNAcentral.